This 216-nucleotide ribosomal RNA is filed under the name Glomeromycotina sp. Its description in RNAcentral is "partial small subunit ribosomal RNA". The stretch from base 54 to 216 matches the Rfam family "Eukaryotic small subunit ribosomal RNA", at positions 700 to 864 of the family's 1831-position model. Lineage: Eukaryota; Fungi; Glomeromycota. The record is from RNAcentral.
GGGUCAGGAGGUUGGUCGUGCCACCGGUACGUACUGGUCUCACUGAUUCCCCCUUCCUGAAGAACCGUAAUGCCAUUAAUUUGGUGUUGCGGGGAAACAGGACUGUUACUUUGAAAAAAUUAGAGUGUUUAAAGCAAGCUAACGCUUGAAUACAUUAGCAUGGAAUAAUGAAAUAGGACGAUCGAUCCUAUUUUGUUGGUUUCUAGGAUUGACGUA